This 524-nucleotide ribosomal RNA is filed under the name uncultured bacterium. RNAcentral's name for it is "bacterial SSU rRNA". It matches the Rfam family "Bacterial small subunit ribosomal RNA", at positions 355 to 896 of the family's 1533-position model. The record is from RNAcentral.
UGGGGAAUAUUGGACAAUGGACCGAGAGUCUGAUCCAGCAAUUCUGUGUGCACGAUGAAGUUUUUCGGAAUGUAAAGUGCUUUCAGUUGGGAAGAAAUAAAUGACGGUACCAACAGAAGAAGUGACGGCUAAAUACGUGCCAGCAGCCGCGGUAAUACGUAUGUCACGAGCGUUAUCCGGAUUUAUUGGGCGCAAAGCGCGUCUAGGUGGUUAUGUAAGUCUGAUGUGAAAAUGCAGGGCUCAACUCUGUAUUGCGUUGGAAACUGUGUAACUAGAGUACUGGAGAGGUAAGCGGAACUACAAGUGUAGAGGUGAAAUUCGUAGAUAUUUGUAGGAAUGCCGAUGGGGAAGCCAGCUUACUGGACAGAUACUGACGCUAAAGCGCGAAAGCGUGGGUAGCAAACAGGAUUAGAUACCCUGGUAGUCCACGCUGUAAACGAUGAUUACUAGGUGUUGGGGGUCGAACCUCAGCGCCCAAGCAAACGCGAUAAGUAAUCCGCCUGGGGAGUACGUACGCAAGUAUG